UACGAAGGGGGCGAGCGUUGUUCGGAAUUACUGGGCGUAAAGGGCGCGCAGGCGGCUCUGAAAGUCAGAUGUGAAAGCCCCGGGCUUAACCUGGGAAUUGCAUUUGAUACUCUGGAGCUUGAGUACGGGAGAGGAGAGUGGAAUUCCCAGUGUAGAGGUGAAAUUCGUAGAUAUUGGGAAGAACACCGGUGGCGAAGGCGGGUCUCUGGGCCGGUACCGACGCUGAGGAGCGAAAGCGUGGGGAGCGAACAGG
RNAcentral lists this ribosomal RNA (253 nucleotides) under uncultured bacterium. Its description in RNAcentral is "partial 16S ribosomal RNA". It matches the Rfam family "Bacterial small subunit ribosomal RNA", at positions 524 to 776 of the family's 1533-position model. The record is from RNAcentral.